CGUGCUUUUCUUCUCUCUCGACAUUAUUGGUUGGAGAAUAUCAGUUUUCCCUUCGGGGGAGAACAAAUGAACUGUUUGGUUAUGUGGGAUGGGAGGAGUAGGGAGAAAGAGAGUCACAGUCUUCUACAAGCAGUCAGUGAUCCAGCCAUUGCGCAUCCCCUUCUUUGUCAGGUGUUCGAUCAUAUUCGGUUAUGGAAAGAUGUGAAAAGAUUUUCAUAACUUGAAAGUGAAAUGGACGGUUAUGUUAUGGCAUUCAGUGCUUGAAAGGGGGGAAAUAGUGGCGCUAUAGUAACAGCUAUUGGAUAAGGGAAUUUUCCAAUUGUUAAGUGUGCGGGUGCGUGCACAAACAAUGGAUGAAAGGUCUCUUUACUAAACAAAAGUAGGCUUGGAAUCAAUAUUUAGUAAAGUUGGAGAUGCCCUUAGAGAAAAUGUGGGAAUUAUUGUCUUAUAUGGCAUGGGAGGAAUAGGUAAAAGUAAACAAAUAAGUACUUGUGGGAAUUAUUGGCUUAUACGACAUGGAGGAACAGGUAAGUACUUGUGGGAAUUAUCUGCUUAUAUGGCAUAGGAGGAACGGGUAAAACUAAACAAAUAAGUACUUGCAGGAAUUAUUAGCUUACAUGGGAUGGGAGGAAUUGGUAAAAAUAAACAAGUACUUGUGGGAAUUAUUGGCUUAUAUGGCAUGGGAGGAGUAGGGAAAAAUAAACAAAUAAGUAUGUUCAAUGUUUUGUGGAAGAAAAAAAGUCUUGAUCGAGAAAGCAACAAACAUCUUCAAGAUUUUAAGCAAGAAGUUUGUGUUAUUAUUUGAUUUUUGUGGGAGGAGAGUGAUCCUCUAAACUCUUAUCUCAAAACUCCAAUUCUUUCACUAACAUCUAUGUGGAAGCACUGCCCUUUCCACAAUUAAAGGAACUAAAAGUGGCGAUACCCCUAAAGCUUAAGAAGCUUCCUCUUAAUUCCAAAAGUGCAGAGCUGCAGUGGGAGGAUGAAGCCACUUAUAAUGUUUUUCUUCCAUGUUUUGAAUCUACUGAUUCAUGAUUAAAGGACAUUAAAAUAACACUGAUUCUUGUAUGUGGAGUUUGCAUUCCUUGUGUCAGGAAUAAUUCCUAGUUGCUUGACAAAUUCUCUCCUACAUCUGAUAUUCAAAGGGUUACACCACUGGAAAAGCAGCAACCUCCAAUGCGGACCUGGUGUAGGAGACUACGAAGUGGCAUUUCAGACCAUGCUUGCGGACACCCAGGGCAGUGCCAGAACAAUGCGGCCUAAGCUGGUCGGAGAAAUUGGUCUACAACACCAACGCUGGAACAAAUUUGUUACUUUUUUUAUAAUUUAGGUUAAUUGAGAUAUCUGAAAAUUGCUUUUUAUUUUUAUUU
Molecule: RNA transcript, 1367 nt
Organism: Pistacia vera
Lineage: Eukaryota; Viridiplantae; Streptophyta; Magnoliopsida; Sapindales; Anacardiaceae
Exons: 3
Source: RefSeq, a predicted model, not a curated record